UUUUAUUUGAGAGUUUGAUCCUGGCUCAGGAUGAACGCUGGCGGCGUGCCUAACACAUGCAAGUUGAGCGAUUUACUUCGGUAAAGAGCGGCGGACGGGUGAGUAACGCGUGGGUAACCUACCCUGUACACACGGAUAACAUACCGAAAGGUAUGCUAAUACGGGAUAAUAUAUUUGAGAGGCAUCUCUUAAAUAUCAAAGGUGAGCCAGUACAGGAUGGACCCGCGUCUGAUUAGCUAGUUGGUAAGGUAACGGCUUACCAAGGCGACGAUCAGUAGCCGACCUGAGAGGGUGAUCGGCCACAUUGGAACU
This 312-nucleotide ribosomal RNA is filed under the name Clostridioides difficile. RNAcentral's name for it is "bacterial SSU rRNA". It matches the Rfam family "Bacterial small subunit ribosomal RNA", at positions 1 to 320 of the family's 1533-position model. The record is from RNAcentral. Lineage: Bacteria; Bacillati; Bacillota; Clostridia; Peptostreptococcales; Peptostreptococcaceae.